This is a long non-coding RNA of Branchiostoma belcheri (Belcher's lancelet), 533 nucleotides long. RefSeq lists it as uncharacterized. The record is from RefSeq and is a predicted model, not a curated record. The transcript is spliced from 3 exons. Lineage: Eukaryota; Metazoa; Chordata; Leptocardii; Amphioxiformes; Branchiostomatidae.
CGAACGCUUUUCGAACGAGUUUUCUUUGCAGAGCGUAUCACUCCGCCGUCCAUAGCAACGCCGUUGCUAAGGACAACAUUUUCGCGGGCGGCGGGCUGAAAUUUCAUCCGAGUUGUUGACAGCCGAUUACAUCACCAGUUUCGGCCUCUGCGUCAAGAUGGCGAUCAUCCUAGGCUUCACAGACUAGAUUGGUAAAAGCCACGCCCAGUGGGAUUGUCACCAGCUAGCAGGAUACCAGGAUGUUAUAUUGUAUAUUUAGCUUGAUUAUGGAUAUAUAUAUAAGAUGUAUUAUGUAUUGAGAUCUUAAUUUCCAUCUAUUCUGUUUAUUGUAAUCUUAAUACAAUUUGGGAUCAUAUUUAAUAGUCGAUUCAGCAUUCAAUGUCUACUGUAACUUUUGAGCAUGUGUUAAGUAAUAUAUGUACUGUAAAAGAUGUAUACAUGUAAUGAUCCCAGGUAUUUGAUAUCCCAGGCCACAACAAAAUGUACUACUUUGUUUUUUGUUUGGUAAUGAGAUAAAGGUUGAAGCAACGUUA